This 306-nucleotide signal recognition particle RNA is filed under the name Aotus nancymaae (Ma's night monkey). RNAcentral describes it as "Metazoan signal recognition particle RNA (ENSANAG00000005887.1)". It matches the Rfam family "Metazoan signal recognition particle RNA". Rfam says of the family: The signal recognition particle (SRP) is a universally conserved ribonucleoprotein. It is involved in the co-translational targeting of proteins to membranes. Lineage: Eukaryota; Metazoa; Chordata; Mammalia; Primates; Aotidae. The record is from RNAcentral.
UUGUGCUGUGCAUAGUAAAUAGCCCACAGCUGUAGUCUUAGCUACUUGGGCAGCUGAGGCAGGAGAAUUACUUGGGCCCAGGAGUUCUAGGCUGUAGUACGCUAUGCCAAUCGGGUGUCUACACUAAGUUGAGCAUCAAAACAGUGGCCUCUCAGGAGUGGGAGACCACUGUGUUGCCUAAGGGGUCAAGUGGCCCAAGUUGGAAAUGGAACAGGUCAAAGUUCCCAUGCUGAUCAGUAGUGGGAUUGCACCUGUCAAAAAACCACUGCACUCUAGCCUGGAAAAGCAUAGCAAGACCCUGUCUCU